Molecule: long non-coding RNA, 1334 nt
Organism: Canis lupus familiaris (dog)
Lineage: Eukaryota; Metazoa; Chordata; Mammalia; Carnivora; Canidae
Exons: 5
Source: RefSeq, a predicted model, not a curated record
AUUCAGGCCAAGUUUAGCUGGAGGACAUUUCAGUUCCACAUGGCAUUAACUGCGUCAUUUUAGAUUUAGUGGUAUUUAGAUGGUGAGCUGGCUGGACUGAAGGGGUCAAGACAGUUUCACUCAUAUUUUAGGAGCCUUGGCAGGAAUGGCUGGUCGUCUGGAAGGUUGGAUGGCAUUGAAAAACAAUCCAAUAGCUUGAUUGUCAACUGGAGCACCUGAAUGCAACUAUGCCAACAUAGUAGUCUCAGGGUAGCCAAACUUCUUACACAGUAGCUGGAGUCUUGAGGCAGUAUUAUAAGAGACCAAGACGGGAAUUACAAGGCUUCUCCUGACCCAGCUUUGGAAGGCAGGCACUGUUGCUUCAGUCACAUUCUAUUGGUCUACUGGUUCUAUUGAAUGACUGAGGCUGAUCCAGAUUUUAGGGGACAAGUAUCUUUAAUUUACCUCAACUGCUGAGCCUCAGUUCUGCUGCAUAGAACCAGCUAUGGGUACCAUCCAUUUCAUCUUCUCAACCUUCCCAUUGUCACGACCAGUGUCUUCAUCAUGUAAUGAGAAUGCCAAGACUGAGAUGUCACCAGGGCAACAGAAACCUCAGCAGUCACAGAGAGAGAGAGAGAGAGGCAGAGACACAGGCAGAGGGAGAAGCAGGCUCCAUGCACCGGGAGCCCGACGUGGGAUUCGAUCCCAGGUCUCCAGGAUCGCGCCCCGGGCCAAAGGCAGGCGCUAAACCGCUGUGCCACCCAGGGAUCCCGAUACGAGAAUAUCUUGAUGAAGCAAUGCAGGUGUGUGUGGCCAGUUCAAGGGACCUCAGGCUUCUGCAGAGGAAGAUAUGAAAGUGAAAGGCAGUCAGUGAGGCCUGAACUUCUGAAACUCAAAAACCAAGAGAAGACUUCUUUUCCCCAGAACUUUGCCUUUCCUGACAUGUGUCUCACUGGCUAAAGGGGACAAGGGAAUCUGAGCCAAGACCAGGAAAAGUUUUGAAUAAACCAGGACCCAGGGGCCACCCAACAGUAAAGACCAGUGACCCUCCCAUUCCAAGGACACUACGCAACCCGGGGAGACUGCUGCUUGGGCCUUUGAACCCAAACUGCUGAACAAUGAGUCUCUCCAACAAAGACUUUCCUUUAUGGGACAGCUGGUUACAUUUCAGAGCACUCAGCAGUGCCGAGCAGACUCCAAGGAAUAGCACAAGGGUGGCACUGAGGGCUUUUAUGACAGCCUCUUGGGAGCUAAACUCACAACAGUCCUUCCCUCCCUGGGAGACUUCUCUAGGACUCUAUUCCACACGUAGCUCUCCCCAUCACAAAAAAAAAAAAAAGGACACUUUGACUUCA